RNAcentral lists this ribosomal RNA (497 nucleotides) under uncultured bacterium. RNAcentral describes it as "partial 16S ribosomal RNA". It matches the Rfam family "Bacterial small subunit ribosomal RNA", at positions 28 to 507 of the family's 1533-position model. The record is from RNAcentral.
GACGAACGCUGGCGGCGUGCCUAAUACAUGCAAGUCGAACGCUGAAGCUUGGUGCUUGCCCCGAGCGGAUGAGUUGCGAACGGGUGAGUAACGCGUAGGUAACCUGCCUGGUAGCGGGGGAUAACUAUUGGAAACGAUAGCUAAUACCGCAUAAGAGUAGAUGUUGCAUGACAUUUGCUUAAAAGGUGCAAUUGCAUCACUACCAGAUGGACCUGCGUUGUAUUAGCUAGUUGGUGAGGUAACGGCUCACCAAGGCAACGAUACAUAGCCGACCUGAGAGGGUGAUCGGCCACACUGGGACUGAGACACGGCCCAGACUCCUACGGGAGGCAGCAGUAGGGAAUCUUCGGCAAUGGACGGAAGUCUGACCGAGCAACGCCGCGUGAGUGAAGAAGGUUUUCGGAUCGUAAAGCUCUGUUGUAAGAGAAGAACGAGUGUGAGAGUGGAAAGUUCACACUGUGACGGUAUCUUACCAGAAAGGGACGGCUAACUACGUG